CACCAGUUCGUAACAUCAGUAAAAGAGAACGUAACUUCAACAUCUACAGUUAAUACCUAUAUCACAUCAAAUUUAAACAUCUUACAUGCAAAUGGAUAAAGUGUACUUGACUUUGCGAAACCGAGUGGUGAUAUUUCAUACUCCAAAGAAAAGGCCAUAUACAUUGAAGACCGCGCGGAACCAAACGAAUGAAGUUACUGGAAAUCUUGACGGUAGCGAUAUAUCUGAUAUCAGCGGAGACUCAAUCGAGUAUUCAGUUCCAGUCCAAUUGUUUGGAAAUCUUGACGGUAGCGAUACAAAAGAUACCAAUGAAGACUCAACAAAUUAUUCUGUUAAUUCUAUUGAUGUUUGAAGAAAUUCCAUUGAAUCGUCGGAUCAACAUUGUUUUCUUUUGAAAGGGCAACAAGAAAUGGGAGCUACCUGAAAGACUCUAUUGAUUUAUCUACAAAACGAUUGAGACCACUUCGCUGCAUCUCUUGAUUAACAAACCGUGGUGCAUAUGUGCUUUUGAUCAGAGAUUAAUGCGAACAAUGCACUUGUUAUUUUCGUGUUUAUUAUUUGCAUUAGUUCGCUAACCUGAAACGAAACAAUGAAUUGCCGUUGAAAGCAUGGAGUUAACUUUAUAAAUAACUAGCUGGCUGCCACAUAAAUUUAACAGAAAGUUGACCUCUCACCUCAGCACCGCAAUGUAUUCAACAAGUAUUUGCAUUCGCACGCCGCCGCUUGAAGCUUGUGAUGCGAUCCCAUAAAUUAAACUGGCUAAAACCGUAGAAAAGGAAGGCAAACGUCACCGAAACAGAAGAAAAAAAAAAAGGAGGGUAUGACCAGAGUAAACUCAGUCCGCAGAAGCCGCAAACAUGCAAACCAAAAAAAGGGGCCACAUGGGCGCAGCUAGUAGGGGAUUGCGGAUGCCAGGGGGAGAAUGCAGCACCAACUAAGCGCGUGUCAAGAGUGCGGCCCAAGUUUUAAUUUGCCGGAUGCGUCCACUAACAUCACCACUGAAAGAACUGAUUUGAAUCUUAUUUUAUAUUUUUUAUCCGAAGCCAUACAACUUACACAUCUCAAAAAUAUCAUAGUCACUUAAAAAUUGAAUUGAGCUUUUGCUGUUCACAAUCAAAAUCUUUAUAGUUUACAUGUUGUUAUGAAUACAUUGCACGAUAUAUUUUUUUGUUAAACUAAACUUUGUUAAAUUAAAAUAUGAUAUAUUUCUUUUUGACUUAUUU
Drosophila melanogaster (fruit fly) is the source of this 1223-nucleotide non-coding RNA. NCBI's taxonomy places the organism in Eukaryota, Metazoa, Arthropoda, Insecta, Diptera, Drosophilidae. The record is from Ensembl.